This is a small nucleolar RNA of Malus domestica (apple), 149 nucleotides long. RefSeq annotates it as small nucleolar RNA snoR135. The record is from RefSeq and is a predicted model, not a curated record. NCBI's taxonomy places the organism in Eukaryota, Viridiplantae, Streptophyta, Magnoliopsida, Rosales, Rosaceae.
AAAGCAGGGAUUGUGUGUAUCGGCGUAGUGCUAGAAUCAAUGCGCUCUGAUCCGAAAGAGUUCCCUGCAAUAUCGAAUCAAAUAGGGGAAGGUGGGCAGUUGUUGUUCAUCAACCUGUUGAACCUUCAACAAUCAUCUUCCCCAUAUUC